RNAcentral lists this ribosomal RNA (1353 nucleotides) under uncultured candidate division WS6 bacterium. Its description in RNAcentral is "bacterial SSU rRNA". It matches the Rfam family "Bacterial small subunit ribosomal RNA", at positions 15 to 1367 of the family's 1533-position model. The record is from RNAcentral.
GAUCCUGGCUCAGAGUGAAUGCUAGCGGAGUGCCUAAGGUAUGCAAGUCGAGCGAUCAUGUUCCUUUUUGGUUCAUGGGAGCGGCGAACGAGUGAGUAACACGUAGUUACCUGCCCAACAGAUGGGAAUAACUCCGAGGAAUCGGAGCUAAUACCCAAUAGUGUGCUAAUGUUUUUACAUAAGUACUAAAGCUUUUGCGCUGUUGGAGGGGACUGCGUCCUAUCAGCUUGUUGGUGAGGUAAAGGCUCACCAAGGCUUUGACGGGUAGCCGGUGUGAGAGCAUGGUCGGCCACGAGGGCACUGAGACACGGGCCCUACUCCUACGGGAGGCAGCAAUUAGGAAUCUUGCGCAAUGGGCGAAAGCCUGACGCAGCGACUCCGCGUGGAGGAUUGAAGGUCUUCGGAUUGUAAACUCCUUUUAGGGUGGUAAUAAGACAUGAAGGUACCACCCAAAUAAGCACCUGCCAACUACGUGCCAGAAGCAUCGGUGAUACGUAGGGUGCAAGCAUUGCUCGGAUUUACUGGGCGUAAAGAGAGCGUAGGCGUUAUAGUCAGUCUUAUGUCAAAGAUCCCCGGUUCAACUGGGAGAAGGCAACGGAUUCUACUAUAAUUGAGGAAGAGAGAGGAAAGCGGAACAUUGGAGGUAGCGGUUAAAUGCGUUGAUCUCUAAUGGAACACCAGUGGCGAAGGCGGCUUUCUGGUUCUAUCCUGACGCUGAGGCUCGAAACCCUGGGUAGCGAAGCGGAUUAGAUACCCGUGUAGUCCAGGGCGUAAAUGAUUCCCGCUGGGUGUUUGUUCUAUAUCGUUUUAAUUCUUCGGAAUCAAGACGAUCGGAAUAAGUGCCGCAGCUAACGCGUUAAGCGGGACGCCUGGGGUGUACGAUCGCAAGAUUGAAACUCAAAGGAAUUGGCGGGGACCCGCACAAGCAGCGGAGCACGUGGUUUAAUCCGAGGGUAAUCGUAUAAACUUACCAAUCCUUGACAUGUAUCUGCAUUCUUUAAGAAAUUAAAGAAGUCCUUCGAGGGUGAUACACAGGCGCUGCAUGGCCGUCGUCAGCUCGUGCCGUGAGGUCUACGGUUAAGUCCGGUAACGAGCGCAACCCCUAUCCCAUGUUAUAUGUGUCUUGGGAAACUGCCGUGGUCAAACACGGAGGAAGGUGGGGACGACGUCUGGUCGGCAUGUCCCUUAUGGAUUGGGCUACACACGCGCUACAAUGGCCUGUACAAUGGGCAGCUACUUCGCAAGAAGAUGCUAAUCUCGUAAAACAGGUCUAAGUUCGGAUUGGGGGCUGGAACUCGCCCCCAUGAAGUCGGAGUUGCUAGUAAUCGCGGAUCACUUAAUGCCGCGGUGAAU